RNAcentral lists this microRNA precursor (52 nucleotides) under Camelus bactrianus (Bactrian camel). Its description in RNAcentral is "mir-1302 microRNA precursor family". It matches the Rfam family "mir-1302 microRNA precursor family". The record is from Rfam by way of RNAcentral. Lineage: Eukaryota; Metazoa; Chordata; Mammalia; Artiodactyla; Camelidae. RNAcentral also lists the same sequence under 3 other names.
UUUUUAGUAAAAAUAUGUCCCAUAAAAUAUUUGGGACAUACUUGUGCUAAAA